This 85-nucleotide transfer RNA is filed under the name Felis catus (domestic cat). It matches the Rfam family "tRNA". Rfam says of the family: Transfer RNA (tRNA) molecules are approximately 80 nucleotides in length. Lineage: Eukaryota; Metazoa; Chordata; Mammalia; Carnivora; Felidae. The record is from Rfam by way of RNAcentral. RNAcentral also lists the same sequence under 3 other names.
GCCUGGGUGGCUCAGUUGGUUAAGCAUCUGACUUUGGUUCAGGUCAUGAUCUCACAGUUUGUGGGUUUGAGCCCCACAUCAGGCU